Molecule: long non-coding RNA, 643 nt
Filed under: Anas platyrhynchos platyrhynchos (common mallard)
Lineage: Eukaryota; Metazoa; Chordata; Aves; Anseriformes; Anatidae
Description: lncRNA (ENSAPLG00000022756.1)
Source: RNAcentral
UAGAAUACUUAGGCGGAGAGUGACUGUAAAUGCUUAACCUUUGUCAAUGGCAGACAUUCAAGAUAGUUUGGCUGCCUCCUUCUAUUUCCUUGUGGACACUGAUUUAAGAGUCCAUCCAAAACAUUCAGGAGGAUAUGACUAACAUGAAAAUCUGUCACUGUAUAAACACAGUGACCAAAACCUAUUUGGCAGCACUUUAGAUCUGCUGGCUAAUAAUUAGUGAUUCAGCAUAAUUACACGGGAGAUAAAGAACAUCUAAGGAAAAAAAAAAAAAAAACUUAUUUCAGUAACGAAUGCAAAAUUUCAGUCGGGGCACAUUAGCAAUGACAUGCUGAGCUCACAUGAGAAGAACAACGCCUGAAUUUACUGGAAACAUUGCAGUAAGGUUUCAGGGUAUGCUGUCUUUCCAGAAAACUGCAACAAGAAGCACUGCAGUUAAAAUCUGCUUAUUUUUGAUGUUCACUAAAUUCACAGAAGGUAUGUUAUGUGGUAUUCCUUCCAUCUCAAAAACUCUUUUUUGGGUCAUUGACACAUGCCACUGACCUAGCUUACACAUAUUUUGUGGUUUUGCUCUGUGAAAAGGAAGUAUUAAGCUCUAAGCUACUGUAAUAAAUUUGUUUGGGUUUGAUAGAGAUUGACUGCC